GGGGGUGUCGCAUAGUGGCAAUUGCAAGAGACUGUAAAUCUCUCGGUCCUAGACCUUCGUUGGUUCGAGUCCAAUCGCCCCCA
Molecule: transfer RNA, 83 nt
Filed under: Verrucomicrobiota bacterium
Lineage: Bacteria; Pseudomonadati; Verrucomicrobiota
Also listed under: 2 other names
Description: tRNA-Tyr
Rfam family: tRNA
About the family: Transfer RNA (tRNA) molecules are approximately 80 nucleotides in length. Their secondary structure includes four short double-helical elements and three loops (D, anti-codon, and T loops).
Source: RNAcentral